GGUGUUCAGGAGGAGAGGGCCGGUUCCUCUCCAGAAAGCUGGGUGCUAUGACAGAUGAGACUUUUAUGCAAGAAAACAAAUCCUACACCUUUGAUGUACUGCUUGAAACUUAAAGAUCUCUUUGGACAUGAAAUUGUAAGACAAAAUGACAGCCCAGGAAGUAGAAGCAGAUGCUAUUUGGAGAACUCAGGCAACUGACAUCUGAGGAGUCUGCCAACACUAGGUAAGGAAAAUGGACAUGAAUGUGAUCUCCAGAGGGAUGAGAGUCUUGGCUGAUGAAUCCUGACACAGGUAUCCAGUCCAGAUAUUGGGAUAUAUAUGGGGAUGGGGUAAUUGAAGAGGGGUUGGUCUCAGGAACAAAGAGAAAUUGAUAUUUGAGACUCAAAAUGAGCUGGUGUGUUUCUACAGAUUUGAACAUGGCCUCUAUUACUUUUAUUGUUGCUGAGACAAAAUACCUGACACCCAAAGUUAAAGGAGGAAAGGUUUGUUUGGCUCACAGUUUGUAGAGGUUUCAGUCCACAGUCAACUGGCUUCAAGGAAGGUGGCAUGGCAGAGGGCAUCACAGAGUAGAAAUAGUCCAUGGCAAGCAGGUAGGUGAGAGCACAUUAGCCCUCCUUCUGUCCCUUAUAUUUUAUGGAGGCUACCUCCCCCAGGGUGAGUAUAGUACUCAUACCCUUAAUCCUGGCCAGAAUUGUGCCAAACCAGUCAGUGGACUGAAUUAGUAAUCACACACCCUUGAUUCCAGCACCACACACUCUACAUCCAGCCACCUCUAACCCCCUCCCCGACACUGCAUGAGGCUUUGGGAGGAUAUCUAAACAUAAGCCAUAAUGGCUUCUUAAAUCCUUUCUAACUCACAAGAUUGUCUGAGGCUGAAUCUGCACAUAUAUGCCAUUUGAGCUAUUCCAGAACAGAGAGUUGGGAGGUUGUGAGUAAAAAAAAGCUAAGUCCUGAGAAUUUAUAUUUCAGGGCAAGAAAUUAAUUUUAUCCUGUUCCAAUAUCAUCUCUAAAUUAAUGACUGUCAUGUAUGCAAUAUGGCUACAGGAAGCUCCUCAAAUGCACAGCCAUGUGUGGCUUCUGAAAAAUAAAAAGAAUCAUUUUUUCUUAGAGGAUAUGAUUACAUUAGGCUAUCAAAUAAAUUACCUUUUCUCAGAAAUAAGGAGUGUUAGUUUUUUUUCUGAUAGCACUGAUGAAACAAAACUUAGAAAUAAAAGUGCCUCUCCCUUCUGUCAUGCCUUGCUUAUGUGAUUACAAAUACCAUUUUAAUUAGAAAACUUUAUUGAGUACACUGUGGGGAAUGCAUGCCUGAAAAAGACAAGUUUCCUUCCCCUUGGAACUUAUCUUAAUAGAGGAUAAAUGAUUCCACCGAUAUAUUCAUAUUGCACAUACAAAGAAACAUGUUUUUUAAUUGAAAAUGAAUUCUAAAUUAGCAUUUCACAUCCCCCCCCCCGCCAAGAUGAACAAGGUAAAAUUCCACUGGAGAGAAUUUUCUUUAAUAAAGAUCCUAAAAUGUGACUCCAGAUAGUCAUUAUUAGUUAGACUUUCUUACUCACAAGACAAGAUAAAUAACAGCCCUGAAUAUCUGGAAACAUAGAUCUUGACUACUUUCAUGCCCUUGUCUGGCAAUGAAUCGGCAGCUCUUGGAAGGAUAAGGCAAGAGAGUAAUUUGGCAAGCUGUUUAAGGUAGCUGCUACUGAGAGGAAUGGGGCGUCCCUUUAAAAUAAAACGAACACAAAAUUCCAAGCUUUUUUUAGAAUACAAAAAUUGCAUAUGUUGAACUUUUUUUUUCUUUUGCAGUACUAGGAAUCCAACCACAGAGUUACAGCCCAAGUCUGCACAUUAAAUGUUAAGGGGAUUUUUUUAUGUUAUACCAGUACCAGGAAACAUUUUUAAAUUACUGGCUGAAAAAAAAUUUUAAGUCUUCAAAAGAACUUCAGUACUAGAUAUAUUUAUAGCUCCUUUGAAAUUCUUUUGUGUUUGUUGUUUUUUAAGAUAGGGUCUCCCUAUGUACUUCUGGCCAGUCUUGAACUCACUGUUCAGCCCAGGCUGGCUUCAAACUCAACAUAAUUCUUCUGCCUCACCUCCUGAAUGCUGGGAUGACAGACAUGCACCACCACACCCAGCUUGAAAUUCCUUACAUGAUAAUAUUGAUACAUGAAUG
RNAcentral lists this long non-coding RNA (2161 nucleotides) under Heterocephalus glaber (naked mole-rat). RNAcentral describes it as "lncRNA (ENSHGLG00100047334.1)". The record is from RNAcentral. Lineage: Eukaryota; Metazoa; Chordata; Mammalia; Rodentia; Bathyergidae.